Molecule: ribosomal RNA, 253 nt
Filed under: uncultured bacterium
Lineage: Bacteria
Description: partial 16S ribosomal RNA
Rfam family: Bacterial small subunit ribosomal RNA
Source: RNAcentral
UAUGGGGGGGGCAAGCGUUGUUCGGAAUUACUGGGCGUAAAGGGCUCGUAGGCGGCCAACUAAGUCAGACGUGAAAUCCCUCGGCUUAACCGGGGAACUGCGUCUGAUACUGGAUGGCUUGAGUGUGGGAGAGGGAUGCGGAAUUCCAGGUGUAGCGGUGAAAUGCGUAGAUAUCUGGAGGAACACCGGUGGCGAAGGCGGCAUCCUGGACCACGACUGACGCUGAGGAGCGAAAGCCAGGGGAGCAAACGGG